GUCUGGCGAAAUCGAUAGCCACACACUUAACACGAGCCCAUGUCCGUGUGCUCGCCUGCGGCGCGCCGAGAGUGAACGAGACAGCGAGCUCCUUCUCACACUAGUUGCUUGUUUCAAGCGAC
Molecule: long non-coding RNA, 122 nt
Organism: Trachymyrmex septentrionalis
Lineage: Eukaryota; Metazoa; Arthropoda; Insecta; Hymenoptera; Formicidae
Exons: 2
Source: RefSeq, a predicted model, not a curated record